CCCUUAGAUGUUCUGGGCCGCACGCGUGCUACACUGAGUGGAUCAGCGGGUCAGGUUGCGCGAAAGCGUUUCCUAAUCUUUAAAUCCGCUCGUGAUGGGGAUUGACGGUUGCAAUUUUCUGUCAUGAACGAGGGAUACCUUGUAAGCGCGGGUCAUCAUCCCGCGCCGAAUACGUCCCUGCCCUUUGUACACACCGCCCGUCGCUCCUACCGAUUGAGUGGUCCGGUGAGGCUUUGGGAUCUGAGCGGAAAGAGCGUUUCGCUGUUUCUGCUCGGAAAACUCAGUCGAACCUUAUCAUUUAGAGGAAGGAGAAGUCGUAACA
This 322-nucleotide ribosomal RNA is filed under the name uncultured eukaryote. RNAcentral's name for it is "partial 18S ribosomal RNA". It matches the Rfam family "Eukaryotic small subunit ribosomal RNA", at positions 1470 to 1796 of the family's 1831-position model. The record is from RNAcentral.